Molecule: long non-coding RNA, 264 nt
Organism: Mastomys coucha (southern multimammate mouse)
Lineage: Eukaryota; Metazoa; Chordata; Mammalia; Rodentia; Muridae
Exons: 2
Source: RefSeq, a predicted model, not a curated record
AAACCACGUACUGUGAUCCUCUUGCAAAUAACAAGCAGGAAGGGAUGUCUCAUGAAUAUGCUAGAAAUUCAUCCGGCCGGUGGUGCAGGGGACUGGAGUCAUUAAGACAGAAACUAACAACGGGGCACCUAACACCACCCUCCGCUGGCUUCCAAAGGCAUGCUGUCAGGAACACGUAUGUGGGCGUGUGUUUCAUGCUCACACGUGCAUGUAAAUAGGCACGUACACGUUGAAUCAAUAAAAUAAAGUGAUGUCUGGCACAGA